GACUCAUAACUCCCUUAGGUGUCUUCCCACUCCUGUGCCAGAUGGAAGAACAAUUACUACUAUUUUAAAAGGAUGUGCUUUCGGUUUUGGCCACUGAUCCUUCAAAAGAGGCCCCAGAUUGACUUAGGCUGUAUCAUUUGAAGGUUCCUAUCAGAUUUUAGGGUUUUUUAGACUUGGGCUGAAACUUCUUAUCUCUCUUGCCUUCUGUCUUUCCCCUUGGAAGGCCCUGGUUGUGUUCACACCCCAGGCCAAGGAGAAGCAAAUGGGGCCAGGCUGUGGUUUCAGCCUCUGCUUUAGAGUUUUGCUGCUUCUGCAUCUGGUGAAUUGUGACAUGUAAACCUCUGCUGGCCAGAAAUCCCCAGAAUGAAUGCAGAUCAUAAAGGGGAAAGGAAGGGUAGGGUGCAUUUGAAUGUUUUUAAGCUUUGCUGAGGACAUCUGGCCUGUGGUGAUUUGCUUAGAAGAGGAUUAAUUGUAACACAGACUCAGGAAGAAUGGGGAUCCCUUAAUGACAAGUGUCAAGUAUACAGGAUACAAAUUGUGUGUAAGAGCCAGUGGAAUCAAAACAGAAUUAUAAAACCAUUCCAGGAUCUCCCUGAUGCUUCAAAAUGCUUCAGAGAAAUCCAUUAUACUUGGAGAGUUUCCCCAGCAGGAAUUCUUCGUGUCCUCAAUGCCUUCCAUUUUAAUAAAUAAAUUGUUUGAAAUUACAGCAAAUGAGGUGAAGGCUGUCCUGU
Non-coding RNA from Zonotrichia albicollis (white-throated sparrow), 731 nucleotides. The record is from RefSeq and is a predicted model, not a curated record. NCBI's taxonomy places the organism in Eukaryota, Metazoa, Chordata, Aves, Passeriformes, Passerellidae.